CCUACGGGGUGCUGCAGUGGGGAAUAUUGGACAAUGGGCGAAAGCCUGAUCCAGCCAUGCCGCGUGUGUGAAGAAGGCCUUCGGGUUGUAAAGCACUUUCAGUGGGGAAGAAAGCCUUGGGGCUAAUACCCUCGAGGAAGGACAUCACCCACAGAAGAAGCACCGGCUAACUCCGUGCCAGCAGCCGCGGUAAUACGGAGGGUGCGAGCGUUAAUCGGAAUUACUGGGCGUAAAGCGCGCGUAGGCGGUCUGAUAAGCCGGUUGUGAAAGCCCCGGGCUCAACCUGGGAACGGCAUCCGGAACUGUCAGGCUAGAGUGCAGGAGAGGAAGGUAGAAAUCCCGGUGUAGCGGUGAAAUGCGUAGAGAUCGGGAGGAAUACCAGUGGCGAAGGCGGCCUUCUGGACUGACACUGACGCUGAGGUGCGAAAGCGUGGGUAGCAAACAGGAUUAGAUACCCGAGUAGUC
RNAcentral lists this ribosomal RNA (465 nucleotides) under Vreelandella stevensii. Its description in RNAcentral is "partial 16S ribosomal RNA". It matches the Rfam family "Bacterial small subunit ribosomal RNA", at positions 338 to 795 of the family's 1533-position model. The record is from RNAcentral. Lineage: Bacteria; Pseudomonadati; Pseudomonadota; Gammaproteobacteria; Oceanospirillales; Halomonadaceae.